GGUCCCGUAGUUCAGUUGAAUAGAACGUCAGAUUCCGGUUCUGAAGGUCGUGGGUUUGAACCCCACCGGGAUCAC
RNAcentral lists this transfer RNA (75 nucleotides) under subsurface metagenome. Its description in RNAcentral is "tRNA-Arg". It matches the Rfam family "tRNA". From Rfam's summary of the family: Transfer RNA (tRNA) molecules are approximately 80 nucleotides in length. Their secondary structure includes four short double-helical elements and three loops (D, anti-codon, and T loops). The record is from RNAcentral.